This is a small nuclear RNA of Vicugna pacos (alpaca), 107 nucleotides long. The record is from Ensembl. Lineage: Eukaryota; Metazoa; Chordata; Mammalia; Artiodactyla; Camelidae.
GUGGUCAUUUUGGCUACACAUAUACCAAAAUUUGAAAGAUACAGAGAAGACUAGCAUGGCCCCUGGACAAGGAUGACAUCCAGACUGCUGUGGCAAUCCAUAUUUUU